AGGACGAACGCUGGCGGCGUGCUUAACACAUGCAAGUCGAACGGAAAGGCCCGCUUGCGGGUACUCGAGUGGCGAACGGGUGAGUAACACGUGGGCAACCUGCCCUCAGCUUUGGGAUAACUCCCGGAAACGGGUGCUAAUACCGAAUAUUGACAUUGUCUCGCAUGGGGUGGUGUUGAAAGUUUUUUCGGCUGGGGAUGGGCCCGCGGCCUAUCAGCUUGUUGGUGGGUGAUGGCCUACCAAGGCGACGACGGGUA
This 257-nucleotide ribosomal RNA is filed under the name uncultured bacterium. RNAcentral describes it as "partial small subunit ribosomal RNA". It matches the Rfam family "Bacterial small subunit ribosomal RNA", at positions 26 to 285 of the family's 1533-position model. The record is from RNAcentral.